Molecule: long non-coding RNA, 1483 nt
Filed under: Chinchilla lanigera (long-tailed chinchilla)
Lineage: Eukaryota; Metazoa; Chordata; Mammalia; Rodentia; Chinchillidae
Description: lncRNA (ENSCLAG00000022507.1)
Source: RNAcentral
CUCUAAGUGAAUACAUAUUUAACAAUAUCACCAGGAGAAUUUUUGUUUCCUUUCACUAAAGUUUGAGAAAUAGACGGGCAGUUUACCCAGUGGCAGACCACCCACUUUAGGAUUGAUCCCCAAUACCAUGAAGAAAAAAUAAAACAGUUUGAGAAGUGUUUCCUUACCAAUAUAUAGUGGUCUGUACUCCAUGAACCACAAGCCGCUGCACACUGAUGACGUCAUCUCACUCUCCAGCCGUAUUAGGCAUGCGUAUAAAUCAGCUCAGUACUCUGUUCCGUCGGUAAUGGGUAUUUAUCAAAGAUUUCAAUCACAGAAUAAUUUUGUCAGAUAUACAUCUAGGUGGCAGCCUAGCAAUGGUCGGCAAGAGGCGAAACUGAAGCCGAGGAGCGAAUUGAGAGACCGCUGUUCUUUCCGUUACAUCGCUGGUCGUCAUCAUGGAGACACAGACGAGGAGCUAUUCCAGAGCCAGCCGCAUCCCCGAAACACAUUGGACAGAUACAAAAAGCCUGGAAAGAGACCGUGCUCUCGGUGCCCAGAAGUCUGGCAGACACAGGCUUUGUCAAAAUGGUGGAGAAAAUAAACUCCAAACACACAGUGCUUUCCAGGAAAAUGCCUCACUUUUGGAAAAUCCAACUGGAAAACUUCCUGUGAAAGAAUUCAUGAGGCCAGCUGUGCACACUUAACCCAGUUAACAAGGUUGGACUGGAUUGAAAAAUUAACUGAUACUCACAUGUGGGACAGGUGGUCACUGAGGCCAGAUUGGCAGUGUGGACAACAGGGAGGGUGACUUCUGCAGACUCUUGGUUCUUAGGACGCCUCUCCUACUGUGUAGAAUAACCUGGUUUCCAAGUUGCUCUUCUCAUGUGGGGCUAUCAGCGAAGGGACCCUAACGUGAUCAUCUAAGACGUUAAAGAGAAGCAUCCACCAGAAGCACAGCCAGAAUAAUCUUCACGCUAUUUUAAAAUGCUGGAAGAUAGAAUUACAACGUUUAGUGUCAUUUUACUCUCGAAUGAAUUAAAAAUGCAAAUGCUUUUCUGUCAUGCAAAAAUAAAAGAGCUUUGACAUAACAGUGACAUAAAUGGAAACAUUUGAUGAGAUAUUUCAUGAGUUUUAAGCAAAACAGUUGUUUGGAAUCCUGGCAAAGUUACAGCACCAUGUACUUGUGCUUUGAAUAGUUAGCAAGGCCUUUAUUUUGUGUUUGAUAAUAAUUAUCAUUGUGGGCACAAGCCAGAGCCCAUUUCUUGAUUUAUACACUGACCCACACUAUGCUUUAUAUGCUUUUAUGUAAGAUAAUACAUAGCUCAACUGCAAGAAUUUAAAACAUGAGUUGCAUGAAGAUAGUAUACUAACCUUUAUUUUGUAAUUAAUAUGGUUUAUCAUGGAAAGGAAUCUCUGCAGACCUAAAUGGAAAGGGUUAUUAGCAUAUGCAAACUUAUUAAGAAACCAGUUAAGUUAGUCAUAUUCAGCAGGGGAGAAGUAU